RNAcentral lists this long non-coding RNA (5492 nucleotides) under Coffea arabica (coffee). Its description in RNAcentral is "long non-coding RNA (CARA_LNC001520)". Lineage: Eukaryota; Viridiplantae; Streptophyta; Magnoliopsida; Gentianales; Rubiaceae. The record is from RNAcentral.
AUUUUCGUUUUUUCCCCCCCUUUCAAGGUAUAUAUCCUUGGUUAUGUUUUGCUUAUUUCAGAUGCACAAUAAGAGAUGUAAUAGAAAUGUGAAAUAGGAAGGGAACAUGAUUUGUACCUAAAAAUGGCUCUUUGCUCUUAAUUCCCACAAGCCAAUCCGUCCAUGCCUUCCCUUUUCUUCUCUUUGGUGGGGUUAUGGGGGGAAGAAAAGAAAAAUUAUUGCCAAGGACAGCAACAAACUGUAGAGAAGGCCAUUAUAUCGUUUUUCAAUGUCUCCACCCAAUUGAUGAUGGUUCUUGGUCUACCAUUAUGAAGUCAGGCGUACCUUUUAAGUUUUAACCACGCAAAGAAACAAAGAAAGAAAAUUUAUAUUCAAGUCUAACACUUCAGCCCCAGGCAACGAAAGUGCUGGACAAAAUGUAAUAUGCUAGAACAUGUGACAAUUAGUCCAGUCAUCUUAUAUAUUAGACUACGACUUUUCAAAAUGAAUGCAGUCAACUCGCACUUGCCAUUUCUAUUUGAAGUUAUGGUUCGAGAUGUCAACCUGUAGAUGAUUUUUUUGGUCCUAAAUUCUUGUUUGGUAUUAUUACUCUUAACAUCAUUUUGAUCAAAAGAAAAAGAAAAAAAUCAAUCAUGUUACUUUCAUGUGAAAAAGUACAAUCAAACUUCUGCUUAUGCUUAUGGCAUUAAAACUUUCAGAUUGAUAUUCGAGGUGACCUAUUUGGUCUUCUGGCAGCACAUCCUAUGGUACCCCUUGUAUCGCUCCACCACCUUGACCACGUGAAACCAUUGUUUCCAAAUCUGACUCAGCAUGAGUCACUGGAAAAUCUCAUCCAAGCAUACCAUAUGGACCCAGCCCAGAUAAUGCAGCAGUCAUUCUGCUACCAUGGGUGGUAUAAAUGGUCUGUGUCUAUCUCAUGGGGCUACGCUGCGCAGAUAUACCCUUCAUUAUUGAUAGCUGGAGACUUGGAGAAACCAUUGCAGACAUUCCGGACAUGGCGGAGUUGGAGCAAUGGACCCUUUAUUUUCAAUACACGUCCUGUGAAUCCUGACCCUUGUGAACGCCCAGCUGUAUAUUACAUAGAGGGGAUUGGCGAAGAUGGCAACGGUGGGACUCUCACUAGUUACAGGAGGUCCAUUUCUGAGCCUGAGAAUUGUAGGGGAGGACACCAUGGCCAUGCAGUGGGUAUUGAGAGAGUUCUCGUCUCAGCAUUGAAAAUGGACCAAAAAGAAUGGAAGGUUCGUUCCAUUUUUUCCCCGUUGCUUAACCAUUUUAAUAUGCAUAUUAGCCGCCACUAAGACUCUGAAGGUAUGUCUUCGCACAAAGUAGGACACUGAUAAUUGAUUGAACCAAAAAGCUAGAAUCCCAGAAGUUGGAUAAAGUCUUGAACCAAACUUUGCUAGGCGUGGCAUUUCCUGUCUUGUUUCAUAACUUAAAAAAUGUUGAGCAUCACAAAUUAGUUGAAAGUUCCGGCCGCGCUAUUUUCCAAAAUGUUUUGGUGAUUAUUCUAUAUCCAGCAUUUUACUUGCAUAAAGUGGCCUAAUUGUUUUUACUUCUUGUACAAUUGCGUUUGAGAGGUUGCCUAUACGCAAGCAUUAGGCAAUUGAAGUAUAAGACGGCUGUCAAUUUUAAUUUGUAAAUAUUGAAAUUUGGUAGUGUUAUUCUUGCUUAUGCCUCUUCUAAAUUGCCUUUUAAGCAGCUACGAGAGAGGUCAUCUCUUGAUCCAUGUUAUACGACCAAAAAAGUUGCAUCUUCUUGGUGAUUAUAUGUUUUUUGGAUGAUAUAUCUCGUGGUCUGUGAAUGCUUGUGCAGAGCCCCCGUAGGCGAUGCUGUGAAAUCAAAAGCUCCAAGGACGGCACUCUAAAGGUGUUGAUUAGAAGAUGUAAUCAACAAGAGUCCAUUACCCCCUAAGGUUUUGGUAAAUAGAAUACCCUUUUCUUUCUUCUUUUCUUUGUUUUUUUCCCCUGUCGUAUCGUAGCUUUCAAUAGAUGUUUAUCUUGAAAGCAAUUUAUUGGUGCUGGGGAUCGUGUAAAGCUGGCUCUCUAAUAAUUAAAUAGCGUAGAAGAUUGAAACUUUGUUACUUUGUGGUAACUAUUCAAGAGAGUAAAAUGCAAGGUCUAGCCAUCCUUUUGAUUGGAUGAAAAAUUUUUGUUCUCAUCACGGAAAAUCCAACAGUACGAAGAUUAUGGAAAGAGAUGCUAAUGAACCGAUCAAUUCUGUUCAAAGAAUGUACACGAGAAUACGUUGACUUUUGAGCUCUGACUGAAGGAGAAACGAAGGGAAAGAUCAGAAGAGUUUUGAGCCAUCACUAUACAAGUCAAAAGUUUUAGAAAAUUCAUUCCUCUCUCAGGCGGUCGAAUAGAAUUUGCCACUCUUAUGGAUUGCUGCAAAAAUGUCAAUGGUUGCUGGUCUUCCAAAGCCUUCACCCAGGCCUCGCUCCUUGCACAAUCUUUUUGGGAUACGGUACUAGUUGCAGAACAAUGUGUCUCUUGUUGCAUUACCGGUAGUUGGGUUCACUCUGAUGGUAAAAAGUCUUCAGACGAAGUGAAAAUACAUGAAAAAAAAAAUGUAUCAGGACUCACAGUAACCACAUUACCCGUCCGCAACCUUGCAAAGGUAUUCUCGUUGAUCAUCCCUGAGAGGAACAUCCGUAAAAUCUGCAAUUACAAAAUGCUCUGUAUCAGCAACUUUUUUUUUUGUUUUAAUUUAUCCCUCUCAAGAAACAUAUUACUAGCAUGCUUAUGAGUCACAAUUUGAAUAAUUUAGGCAGCAUUUACCCCUCUUUUUGGGUAAGUGAGAGGAUUUGAAUUUAAAAUCUCUUACUUUCGACUCUUUCCACCUUACCACCCAACCCAACUCUCCCCCAAUGCAGUAUUCCCAGGUUCCAUGGGGUUGAAAUCAUUUCCAAGACCCAGUAGCCGUCUCAAUACCAAAUGUGAAGGAACAUCUAAUCAGUAUAAUCAAGUCCAUAUCGUGAUUAUCAGUCGUUUCUCGUUGUUUUGUCACAAAGAUCAAGAAACAAGUGAAAAGAAGAUCAUCGCAGACAGAAAAUAGGAAACAUGGGCCAAGUGAGGGCACCAAGCGUUUUUCUAUUCUCUGUACAUGUCACAGUUAGUUACUUGUUUGCUCCUGUUUUGAAUUCCCUGCAAAGUUAUAUUUUAACUAUCCCACACCUGAAAUUUAUAACACUAUGGUAAAUGAUGCAUCAUGGCAAUUGUAAGUAUAAAAUUAAAAGUUAGUUUACAUGUCACAGUUAGUUACUUGUUUGCUCCUGUUUUGAAUUCCCUGCAAAGUUAUAUUUUAACUAUCCCACACCUGAAAUUUAUAACACUAUGGUAAAUGAUGCAUCAUGGCAAUUGUAAGUAUAAAAUUAAAAGUUAGUUCUUCUUACCUGCGCCAGUUAUAAUUGACCCUCUGAAAGAUGUAUUCCCGGUAGCAAGUGCGCCUUCCAAGUUUGCAUUGCUCAAAUUUGCCUGCAGAAAGUGACAGCCACACCGGAGAUGGAAGUCAAUUACAAGGUCAAAAAACUUAAGAAUCACAACUAGUACGUUACAGCUCCCAAGUGUAAUCAGUUAUGUAAGCUCCAAAUCCAGUUCAACAGCUACAAAAGCAUGCUCAAAGGCUAUGUGGAUGGAAAGACAGCCAUAAUUUCUUGAACAGAAUCUAUUACAAUCAAACAUGCACUGAAAUCCAGAAUGUUGACGAUACCAUCAAACAGUAUCUGGACAUCUGAAAUAGUUAAAAGAACUUCCAACCAAACACAGCCAUUCCCUUGUUGUUCUUAAAUUCUUUUUAUGAGCACCAUCAUAUUUUGGCAAGUAAAGAGGUGGUAUCUUUUGUACCCAACUCUUCUCUAUGGACUAGAAUAAAUUAAGCUUCUAGUUUGACUGCAUGUUAGCUUGCUACUCAAUCUGGACUGGUCAGGUACUCGUACAUUCCCAUCUUGAUUUUUUUUUUGAAGCAUAAGGGCAUUAGUCACAGAAAACAUCCAAUUAUUCAGAAGAUGAACAUCUUAUAUUCCCCCAAGAAAAAAGCACCUCAACUGAAUAUGCAGUGUAGCACCUUGCUCGUUACAAACAUGGACUAAUGGCAAAUGAUGAAUAGACACAGUGAAUUUUUUUAUGGCAACAAAAUCAACACAACACCAAAAGCAUGAAAUCUAUGUAUGACAUGAAGCAAAAUUCAUUACCUUGGUCACAUUUGCUAAAGAGAAGUCAGCUCCUCUAAGAUCAGCAUCAGAUAGAUCAGCACCUGAAUACAUAUAAAGCAGAAACCAAGAUUUUGUUUUGAAUAGACAAAAGCUUCACGAUCAGAAUGUCAGAUGAAGUAAUAUAGCAUGCUCUAUCUAAACCAGGGCUUUAGAUUUGUGUAGCUGCCAAAGUACAUUAGUAAAGCAGUUUUGCAUAAUCAUUUUGAUUUUCGAGUUAUUCCCUUCAGUGACCAUCACUGAGCUCCAUUUUUGGAACCUAAAUCUCACACGUUAGGUGCCAGUUUAGAAAUGAAAACUUAGAAUGGCAAUUGCUACACUAAUUGGUUUGUCCACAUAAAGAACAAAGUAAUUAGUUUGCCCUAGGUGCUUUUAGUUUACACUUUUCUUGUAAGUUACAAUUGUAGUCUUUUGCUGUAGUGGAAUCGGUGGCAGGCGGUUCAUCAUCAAGCAUUUCAGUAAUCGAAUUUAAUAUCCCAGAUACUCCCUAUGUCUGCUACUUUAGAUAAAAAAUUCUGUUUUUCCAUACUAGAAAAGCAAAUGACAUUUCAGUAGAGGAUAUACCUGUUAAAUCAGCAUCAAAGAAGCUAGCUCCUACUAAUGCUGCGCCUUUGAAUUUGGUUUGCCUAAGUAUUGACUGUUCAACAGAAUUCACAUGACGCCACGCGACUUAUCCAGGAUUGAAUAGCCCAACCAAAAAAAAAAAAGAAAAGAAAAAAGGUAUGCAGCAUACUUAAUCUAAAUGCAUAGAGAAGUGGACGAAUUUCAAUUCCACAUACAGUUUUAAAAUCUUGCUUGACCAAACUCUUCCCACUAAAAUCUUUCCCAGAGAGAUCUUGUCCCCUGGUAACUUCUGCACCGUAAGGACCUCCACCCUUUUCUCCCCAGAUUAUGUAACCCAAAAAAAAAAAAAAUCAUUAAUCAUUCCAAAAAAAAAACCCACAAUUUAGAAUCACAAUAAACGCUAAAAUAAUUGCGGGCUAAAUUGUAGUUUUGGUUACCUUGAAUGCUAAAGCAGGGUCGGAUGCAAAGAAGAGGGAAGCAGAGAGAAGGGCGAGAAAGCUUGCCCUGGAUAUUGAUUCUCCCAAGCAAAGCAGAGGAUUCUGAGGAGCUUGAGACUGAUGAUUCACGGGACGCUGUAAUGUGUGGAAAUAAAAUUGGCCAAGUUAAUCAAAUUGUAGUCUAGUGUACUUUUUGAGCUGAAUUCACCGGAAAAUGUAGCGUACCUGUGGCCUAGUGGCAGUGCAAUUGAAGGGAAGAGAAAGAGACGGGAAGCAAAAAUGCU